UUGGAUUGAUGGAAUUUUAUGUUGAUGUAUGCUGAACGGUUGGGAUAUGUGUAUAUAUAUUGUUUUUUGUACAGGUAGAAUAUUUUGGGAAAUGAGCAAGUUACAGGGGAGACUCUGCCGAAUUUUCUGCAGAAGUCAAGCCAGAAGAAAAUAUUAGGUUUCUAGUUAGAAGGGGAGUUCAGUCAUUUGUGCUCGUCACCCGCCAGGUGUCAGACACGCACAGGGUUCGGCGCAGGUUCCAAAGUGGAAUUUGGGUCGGGUCCUGUCAACUUAGUAUCAUAGCAUUAGGUUAAAUUCCUGCAGACUCAUUAUCUCGUGUGCAUCCUUGUUAUGGGAAUUGUUGAUGCUUCUUG
RNAcentral lists this long non-coding RNA (353 nucleotides) under Prunus persica (peach). RNAcentral describes it as "long non-coding RNA (PPER_LNC004576)". The record is from RNAcentral. Lineage: Eukaryota; Viridiplantae; Streptophyta; Magnoliopsida; Rosales; Rosaceae.